UUACCGAGUUUACAACUCCCAAACCCAUGUGAACAUACCUAUUGUUGCUUCGGCGGGAUUGCCCCGGGCGCCUCGCGUGCCCCGGAUCAGGCGCCCGCCUAGGAACUUUAACUCUUGUUUUAUUUUGAAUCUUCUGAGUAGUUUUUACAAAUAAAUAAAAACUUUCAACAACGGAUCUCUUGGUUCUGGCAUCGAUGAAGAACGCAGCGAAAUGCGAUAAGUAAUGUGAAUUGCAGAAUUCAGUGAAUCAUCGAAUCUUUGAACGCACAUUGCGCCCGCCAGUAUUCUGGCGGGCAUGCCUGUCUGAGCGUCAUUUCAACCCUCAUGCCCCUAGGGCGUGGUGUUGGGGAUCGGCCAAAGCCCGCGAGGGACGGCCGGCCCCUAAAUCUAGUGGCGGACCCGUCGUGGCCUCCUCUGCGAAGUAGUGAUAUUCCGCAUCGGAGAGCGAUGAGCCCCUGCCGUUAAACCCCCAACUUUCUAAGGUUGACCUCAGAUCAGGUAGGAAUACCCGCUGAACUUAAGCAUAUCAAUAAG
This 534-nucleotide ribosomal RNA is filed under the name Clonostachys sp. UCD9Syrah. Its description in RNAcentral is "eukaryotic LSU rRNA". The stretch from base 160 to 313 matches the Rfam family "5.8S ribosomal RNA". Lineage: Eukaryota; Fungi; Ascomycota; Sordariomycetes; Hypocreales; Bionectriaceae. The record is from RNAcentral.